GGGUCGGUAGCUCAGGUGGUUAGAGCGCACGCCUGAUAAGCGUGAGGUCGGAGGUUCGAGUCCUCCUCGACCCACCA
RNAcentral lists this transfer RNA (77 nucleotides) under Ketogulonicigenium vulgare. RNAcentral's name for it is "tRNA-Ile". It matches the Rfam family "tRNA". Rfam says of the family: Transfer RNA (tRNA) molecules are approximately 80 nucleotides in length. Their secondary structure includes four short double-helical elements and three loops (D, anti-codon, and T loops). The record is from RNAcentral. Lineage: Bacteria; Pseudomonadati; Pseudomonadota; Alphaproteobacteria; Rhodobacterales; Roseobacteraceae. RNAcentral also lists the same sequence under 22 other names.